ACUCAAAUGAAUUGACGGGGGCCCGCACAAGCAGCGGAGCGUGUGGUUUAAUUCGAUGCUAAGCGAAGAACCUUACCAGGGCUUGACAUGUAAGUGGUACUGAACCGAAAGGCGAGGGACCCGCAAGGGAGCUUACACAGGUGCUGCAUGGUUGUCGUCAGCUCGUGCCGUGAGGUGUUGGGUUAAGUCCCGCAACGAGCGCAACCCUUGUCGCUAGUUAAAUUCUCUAGCGAGACUGCCCCUAAAAGGGAGGAAGGAGGGGAUGACGUCAAAUCAUCAUGGCUCUUACGUCCUGGGCUACACACACGCUACAAUGGCCAGUACAGACGGUUGCUAAAUCGCGAGAUGGAGCCAAUCCGACAAAGCUGGUCUCAGUUGGGAUUGCAGGCUGAAACCCGCCUGCAUGAACGUGGAGUUGCUAGUAACCGCAGGUCAGCAUACUGCGGUGAAUACGUUCCCGGGCCUUGUACACACCGCCCGU
RNAcentral lists this ribosomal RNA (481 nucleotides) under uncultured bacterium. RNAcentral's name for it is "partial 16S ribosomal RNA". It matches the Rfam family "Bacterial small subunit ribosomal RNA", at positions 899 to 1397 of the family's 1533-position model. The record is from RNAcentral.